UCAUUUGACUAAGGAGUUUGGUGAAUGCGCGCUUCUAGGCCGUGUGAUUUCACGCUUUUUCUCUUUUUCUAAUUUCUGAUUUUAAUUUCUUUUAUUUCUUUUAAUUCCAUUUUAUUUCAAAAAUUCAUAUCUCAUUAUUGGUCCAAAAAUUAUGGGACCAAUUUCAUUCUUCUCCUUUUCAUUUCUACUUUCUAAAAAUGUUUUUUAAUAUUUUUUAUUUUAUCAUUUGAUAUUUUUUAGUAAUUUUCUCUUUUCUGGUUAUUUUUAAUUCAUCUAA
RNAcentral lists this long non-coding RNA (277 nucleotides) under Lathyrus oleraceus (garden pea). RNAcentral's name for it is "Pisum sativum (pea) long non-coding RNA (PSAT_LNC030171)". The record is from RNAcentral. Lineage: Eukaryota; Viridiplantae; Streptophyta; Magnoliopsida; Fabales; Fabaceae.